Microtus oregoni (creeping vole) is the source of this 124-nucleotide small nucleolar RNA. RefSeq annotates it as small nucleolar RNA SNORA11. The record is from RefSeq and is a predicted model, not a curated record. The transcript has a single exon. Lineage: Eukaryota; Metazoa; Chordata; Mammalia; Rodentia; Cricetidae.
GGGGUAUGUGCUCAGAGCAGGGCCAGGAGAACAGCUUCUCUGUUUACAACACACCCAAGAAGAUCAUGGGGACAUGGUAAUGAGGCGCACAGCACUGUGUCCUCUCCGUGACCUGAGAAAAAGC